RNAcentral lists this ribosomal RNA (770 nucleotides) under Bacillus sp. (in: firmicutes). RNAcentral's name for it is "bacterial SSU rRNA". It matches the Rfam family "Bacterial small subunit ribosomal RNA", at positions 565 to 1333 of the family's 1533-position model. The record is from RNAcentral. Lineage: Bacteria; Bacillati; Bacillota; Bacilli; Caryophanales; Bacillaceae.
GGGCUCGCAGGCGGUUUCUUAAGUCUGAUGUGAAAGCCCCCGGCUCAACCGGGGAGGGUCAUUGGAAACUGGGAAACUUGAGUGCAGAAGAGGAGAGUGGAAUUCCACGUGUAGCGGUGAAAUGCGUAGAGAUGUGGAGGAACACCAGUGGCGAAGGCGACUCUCUGGUCUGUAACUGACGCUGAGGAGCGAAAGCGUGGGGAGCGAACAGGAUUAGAUACCCUGGUAGUCCACGCCGUAAACGAUGAGUGCUAAGUGUUAGGGGGUUUCCGCCCCUUAGUGCUGCAGCUAACGCAUUAAGCACUCCGCCUGGGGAGUACGGUCGCAAGACUGAAACUCAAAGGAAUUGACGGGGGCCCGCACAAGCGGUGGAGCAUGUGGUUUAAUUCGAAGCAACGCGAAGAACCUUACCAGGUCUUGACAUCCUCUGACAACCCUAGAGAUAGGGCUUUCCCUUCGGGGACAGAGUGACAGGUGGUGCAUGGUUGUCGUCAGCUCGUGUCGUGAGAUGUUGGGUUAAGUCCCGCAACGAGCGCAACCCUUGAUCUUAGUUGCCAGCAUUCAGUUGGGCACUCUAAGGUGACUGCCGGUGACAAACCGGAGGAAGGUGGGGAUGACGUCAAAUCAUCAUGCCCCUUAUGACCUGGGCUACACACGUGCUACAAUGGACAGAACAAAGGGGCUGCAAGACCGCAAGGUUUUAGCCAAUCCCAUAAAUCUGUUCUCAGUUCGGAUCGCAGUCUGCAACUCGACUGCGUGAAGCUGGAAUC